RNAcentral lists this ribosomal RNA (1628 nucleotides) under Triticum aestivum (bread wheat). RNAcentral's name for it is "partial small subunit ribosomal RNA". The record is from RNAcentral. Lineage: Eukaryota; Viridiplantae; Streptophyta; Magnoliopsida; Poales; Poaceae.
UACAGGCCUAUAUGGUAUACCUAAGUGGUACCUCUUUCAUACGCCGGGAGGCUUCGUUAAUGACGAGGAUCAAGUGUCAAACUUCUUAUACGACUAUCACUACUCUACCUACUCUACGAUGAUCUUCCUAAACCUUACAUGCUAUGAGCAUGAAAUCCUCUCCUCGUUCUCAGACUUCUACUAAACCUGCUACUACGACUCCGUAUGAUAUCUAAUCAAUUACUACCUGUGGUUCUCAACAUGGGUCCACCUCAGCGAAACCUCGCGGAACGAGUUCAACUUCGACUUGAUGUACAACGAUUUGUUCUCUUGUACCUCGAAGCCGUACACCACGUAUGAGACCACCGUUUAGUUUGAAGUUACUACCGGUUCUCACUCUCUUACCGUCUUGUCAUGUUACUCGAUUUUUCAAACUAGUAUCGAAGAUCCCCCAGACAACUUUACCCUCCUUAAGGUCUUUUCCUCGAAGGUUUAUUUCUUGGAAGAUUCCUGAACCUUUGGUACUUACUGCUUCUUGUUCGUUGAAGUGAAAGUAUAUGAUGGUUCCGUAGGCUCCGUUACCGACGAGGUUCCGACGAGGUUCCGUUACCGAUGAGAUUCAACCACUUCCGUAGGGUUGACCUUAGUUUCUGUUGUCUUAGUCGUGAUGGUUCAGAACGCGGACACGGUUUUGGUUUCUUCUGUUUCUGUUGAUUUGUAUUCUUUGGUCCUUAUAAAGUUUGUGGCGAGGUUUUACCUGGUUUCCUACCUAAUCUUCUAUGGUAUUUCACACCGUACCUUCAAUCAAACUGCAGCGGUUUAUCACGUUCACACCACCGUUACCCUUGGUAAGUCUUUUGACUAUCUUUUCGAUUUCGAUAACUACCGGUUGGUGAUCGACUAACACAACUUCAAGAAUAGUUGCAGCACGAGUUUCUUUGUUGACUCGACGGAGCACGUGUUCCCUUUUAUUUGUUCGAUCCUUUACGGGUUCGAUCCACAUAAGGUACCGGUGCGUUUUUAUAAUACGUUUAUCUAGCAUGAUGGCACGACGUGAGAUUCCAAAGAUCACAAACAUCAGUCCACAGAAAGUUGUUAUCGCUCUUACACCUAGGGUUGUUUUGUUGAUGACCUUGAGUCCACUGGUUGGUACUCUGACCAACGUCAUGAAGUCUUCCACGUCACUCAUUAUGUGACUUCUCUUUCUUCCAAAGAUUUUGUUGUUCUUACUUUUUUCGAUGAGUUCGUUAGAGACGAUGUUGGCCUUUGUUGUAUGAAUCCUUAAGCCCGUCCCUUUGUACUUUCUACCAGUAUCUUCGGAUCUUUACGACCAUGUGACGAGUUCCAACUUCAACUUCCACUGUGUAGUGACUAAACGAACGGGAACACACACGGGCAGAUUCUAACCGAACGAGAAUACGACCAUGUGACGACUAACCUAACGAGAACGUAGUUCGACCUUGUGAACAAGCAUAACAACAGUGUUGUAAUCCUUCACUGGACACACAAAGACUAACUAUGAAACUAUAACAAAGACUUAAACACUUCUACAAGAAUACCACUACGAAACGUAAUAAGCGUACGUGCUACUAUGAAGAUCGGCUACGUUCGAAGAGUUAGAAAAAAAGAUAACAUACACAAAAAUGUCU